AAAUAUGAAGCAUUUUGCAUUUAGUUUCGACCUAAAAGAUAGUUUAAUUUACUCUUAUUUU
RNAcentral lists this transfer RNA (61 nucleotides) under Microrhagus sp. ZM-2022. RNAcentral describes it as "tRNA-Arg". The record is from RNAcentral. Lineage: Eukaryota; Metazoa; Arthropoda; Insecta; Coleoptera; Eucnemidae.